This 465-nucleotide ribosomal RNA is filed under the name Vreelandella stevensii. RNAcentral's name for it is "partial 16S ribosomal RNA". It matches the Rfam family "Bacterial small subunit ribosomal RNA", at positions 338 to 795 of the family's 1533-position model. The record is from RNAcentral. Lineage: Bacteria; Pseudomonadati; Pseudomonadota; Gammaproteobacteria; Oceanospirillales; Halomonadaceae.
CCUACGGGUGACAGCAGUGGGGAAUAUUGGACAAUGGGGGGAACCCUGAUCCAGCCAUGCCGCGUGUGUGAAGAAGGCCCUCGGGUUGUAAAGCACUUUCAGUGAGGAAGAACGCCUGGUGGUUAAUACCCAUCAGGAAAGACAUCACUCACAGAAGAAGCACCGGCUAACUCCGUGCCAGCAGCCGCGGUAAUACGGAGGGUGCGAGCGUUAAUCGGAAUUACUGGGCGUAAAGCGCGCGUAGGUGGCUUGAUAAGCCGGUUGUGAAAGCCCCGGGCUCAACCUGGGAACGGCAUCCGGAACUGUCAAGCUAGAGUGCAGGAGAGGAAGGUAGAAUUCCCGGUGUAGCGGUGAAAUGCGUAGAGAUCGGGAGGAAUACCAGUGGCGAAGGCGGCCUUCUGGACUGACACUGACACUGAGGUGCGAAAGCGUGGGUAGCAAACAGGAUUAGAUACCCCUGUAGUC